RNAcentral lists this transfer RNA (90 nucleotides) under Acetobacteraceae bacterium. RNAcentral describes it as "tRNA-Ser". It matches the Rfam family "tRNA". From Rfam's summary of the family: Transfer RNA (tRNA) molecules are approximately 80 nucleotides in length. Their secondary structure includes four short double-helical elements and three loops (D, anti-codon, and T loops). Further hydrogen bonds mediate the characteristic L-shaped molecular structure. tRNAs have two regions of fundamental functional importance: the anti-codon, which is responsible for specific mRNA codon recognition, and the 3' end, to which the tRNAs corresponding amino acid is attached (by aminoacyl-tRNA synthetases). tRNAs cope with the degeneracy of the genetic code in two manners: having more than one tRNA (with a specific anti-codon) for a particular amino acid; and 'wobble' base-pairing, i.e. permitting non-standard base-pairing at the 3rd anti-codon position. Lineage: Bacteria; Pseudomonadati; Pseudomonadota; Alphaproteobacteria; Acetobacterales; Acetobacteraceae. The record is from RNAcentral.
GGAGGGUUGGCCGAGCGGCUUAAGGCGCACGCUUGGAAAGCGUGUGUACGUGAAAGCGUACCGUGGGUUCGAAUCCCACAUCCUCCGCCA